RNAcentral lists this long non-coding RNA (422 nucleotides) under Brassica napus (rape). RNAcentral describes it as "long non-coding RNA (BNAP_LNC007163)". Lineage: Eukaryota; Viridiplantae; Streptophyta; Magnoliopsida; Brassicales; Brassicaceae. The record is from RNAcentral.
CUUGAGUUUCAGCCAUGGAUCUACUAACUGAGCUCUGAUACCAUGUGAAACACACAAGAAUGGAAAAAGAUGAAACUGUAACUUCAAUCUUUCAUUCAACUCUCCAAACCCUAAUACAUCGCUAGCCUCUUAUAUACAUGAGGAGGCACAAGGGUACAUCUUAACCUAAAGCUUAAGUUAGCACACGCCAGCAUCAAGUAGCUGGAAUCGGUUCACGGUAAGGAUCUCUGAUCUCCUCUGAGCUGGCUUCUCCGUACACAGAAGACGACAAGAGCUCAAGUUCUUCCUUUUACUCAGAACUGUAUCAAUGGCUAGUAUUGAGACUUCAGUGGGCUUAACGGGCUUGUCAACAUGUUUCUCAAUCGGCCCAGAUGCCAUUACGAAACCUUCUGUACCAGCUGGAGUCUUUGAGGAAGAUAGAC